GACGAACGCUGGCGGCGUGCUUAAUACAUGCAAGUAGAACGCAGAGGGAGGAGUUUGCUUCUCUGGACGAGUUGCGAACGGGUGAGUAACGCGUAGGUAACCUGCCUGGUAGUGGGGGAUAACUAUUGGAAACGAUAGCUAAUACCGCAUAAUAGCAGUUGUUGUAUGACAACUGUUUGAAAGGUGCAAUUGCUGGACUACCAGACGGACCUGCGGUGCAUUUGCUAGUUGGUGGGGUAUCGGCACACUAAGGCGACGAUCCAUAGCCGACCUGAGAUGGGGGUCGGCCAGACUGAGACUGAGACAGGGCCCAGACGCCUACGGGAGGCAGCAGGAGUGAUUCGGCAGCAAUGAGCGGAAGUCUGACCGAGCAGCGCCGCGUGAUGGAAGAAGGUUUUCGCGUCGGAGAGCUCUGUUGUAAGAGAGGAACGAGUGUGAGCGUGUAAAGUUCACACAGUGACGGUAUCUGACCAGAAAGGGACGGCUAACUACGUG
RNAcentral lists this ribosomal RNA (495 nucleotides) under uncultured bacterium. RNAcentral describes it as "partial 16S ribosomal RNA". It matches the Rfam family "Bacterial small subunit ribosomal RNA", at positions 28 to 507 of the family's 1533-position model. The record is from RNAcentral.